This 484-nucleotide ribosomal RNA is filed under the name uncultured bacterium. RNAcentral's name for it is "partial 16S ribosomal RNA". It matches the Rfam family "Bacterial small subunit ribosomal RNA", at positions 30 to 507 of the family's 1533-position model. The record is from RNAcentral.
AUUGAACGCUGGCGGCAGGCCUAACACAUGCAAGUCGAGCGGAUGAAGGGAGCUUGCUCCUGGAUUCAGCGGCGGACGGGUGAGUAAUGCCUAGGAAUCUGCCUGGUAGUGGGGGAUAACGUCCGGAAACGGGCGCUAAUACCGCAUACGUCCUGAGGGAGCAAGUGGGGGAUCUUCGGACCUCACGCUAUCAGAUGAGCCUAGGUCGGAUUAGCUAGUUGGUGGGGUAAAGGCCUACCAAGGCGACGAUCCGUAACUGGUCUGAGAGGAUGAUCAGUCACACUGGAAGUGAGACACGGUCCAGACUCCUACGGGAGGCAGCAGUGGGGAAUAUUGGGCAAUGGGCGAAAGCCUGAUCCAGCCAUGCCGCGUGUGUGAAGAAGGUCUUCGGAUUGUAAAGCACUUUAAGUUGGGAGGAAGGGCAGUAAGUUAAUACCUUGCUGUUUUGACGUUACCAACAGAAUAAGCACCGGCUAACUUCGUG